ACCGGCUUUAACAUCAACGAAACGUUUCUUUACUUGGCUCGUCUCCCAAGAAAAGAAGCUUGUCGAGAAAAGCAAAAGAGAGAAACUCUAGCAGAGAGUUAGAUUACUUGUCUCUUACACACGCACGAAGGGUUUUAUAUUCGACAUUCAAGACAAUAACGAUGUUUCUCACCAGGACCGAGUAUGACAGAGGUGUCAACACCUUUUCUCCCGAAGGAAGAUUAUUUCAGGUUGAGUAUGCCAUUGAGGCCAUCAAGUUGGGUUCAACUGCAAUUGGGUUGAAGACAAAAGAUGGCGUUGUUCUGGCUGUUGAGAAGCGUAUUACUUCACCACUACUGG
Carica papaya (papaya) is the source of this 339-nucleotide non-coding RNA. NCBI's taxonomy places the organism in Eukaryota, Viridiplantae, Streptophyta, Magnoliopsida, Brassicales, Caricaceae. The record is from RefSeq and is a predicted model, not a curated record.